Molecule: long non-coding RNA, 854 nt
Organism: Vollenhovia emeryi
Lineage: Eukaryota; Metazoa; Arthropoda; Insecta; Hymenoptera; Formicidae
Exons: 5
Source: RefSeq, a predicted model, not a curated record
UUCUUUUAUAAUUGAUUGCAAAUAAUUUAUUUCAGAUGAACUUCCAAUAAAACAAAUAAUUAAAAAACCACCACAAAUCAAUUCUCUUGUGAGAAAUAAGCCGAAAAUUACGUCAACUGAAAUAAUUGCACCUCAGCAAUCUUCAACUUCAAAAAUAGUUUAUAAGUUCAAAAUGUCGUUGAGAUUCCCGAACAAGGAGAAAAAGUAUCUAGUGGUUUUGAAGAAACUGUGCUGCGAAAACUUAACUCUAUAUUGUCAAAAUUGACUAUUUUAGAGAUUAGAAUAACUCAGAUAGAGUCACAAAGACAUAUGAGAAAAGUUUCAAAUAAAGACUUAUUAGAUGAAAUAGAGGAUGAAAUUUCUUUACCAAUAAAAAGUAUGGCUGAAUUGGAUGAAGUUGAAGAGAAGCUGAAAAAUCGUGCAUUUCUGGAAAAAAUGCAACUUCAUGUGGCUUCAAAGGCCAACGUCUCCACCUCUGGGACAUUCGUGGAGACACACGAAUACAAAUAAAAAUCACUUAUGUAAAAAGAUUCGGUGGAAGUGAUGUAAACGUGGUGACCACCGGCAUCCUAAAAAAAUAUUGGACGACUGUUUUGCAGAACAAUUUAGUUGGGAUGAUAAAAAGAACAAAAAGAAUUUAAAAUUCUUUUAAUAGCGAAAGUUUUGAAAAGAGCAGAUAUCCAGUAUAUGCCCGAAUUGUACCGAGAUAGAAAUAAAAAAAAUUGCGUCUCAAUGGUUGGCUCAAGCCAAAGUCAGACGUAUUCGCCGAGAAAAAAAAGUUAAUGAAACUUAUGAGAACAAUGACAGUGAAAAUGAAAAUGAAUAAAUAAUUCAUUUUUAAUGGUAAAUGAAAA